RNAcentral lists this ribosomal RNA (920 nucleotides) under uncultured archaeon. RNAcentral describes it as "bacterial SSU rRNA". It matches the Rfam family "Archaeal small subunit ribosomal RNA", at positions 1 to 923 of the family's 1478-position model. The record is from RNAcentral.
UUCCGGUUGAUCCUGCCGGAGGCCACUGCUAUCGGACUCCGACUAAGCCAUGCGAGUUUAGGGGCUCUUCGGAGCACCGGCAGACGGCUCAGUAACGCGUGGACAACCUACCCUCAGGUUGGGGAUAACCUCGGGAAACUGAGGCUAAUACCCCAUAGGUCUUGGAUACUGGAAGGUUCCGAGGCUGAAAGCUCCGGCGCCUGAGGAUGGGCCUGCGGCCUAUCAGGUAGUUGGUGGUGUAAAGGACCACCAAGCCUGCGACGGGUACGGGCCCUGAGAGGGGGAGCCCGGAGAUGGACUCUGAGACACGAGUCCAGGCCCUACGGGGCGCAGCAGGCGCGAAACCUUCGCAAUGUGCGAAAGCGCGACGAGGGGAGUCCGAGUGCCCUUCCUUCGGGGAGGGCUUUUCCCAAGCCUAAAAAGCUUGGGGAAUAAGGGCUGGGCAAGACGGGUGCCAGCCGCCGCGGUAAUACCCGCAGCUCGAGUGGUGGCCACUAUUAUUGAGCCUAAAGCGUCCGUAGCCGGACCCGUAAAUCCCUGGGUUAAAUCCCACCGCUCAACGGUGAGAAUUCCGGGGAGACUGCGGGUCUUGGGACCGGGAGAGGCUGGAGGUACUCCCGGGGUAGCGGUGAAAUGCUGUAAUCCCGGGGGGACCACCUGUGGCGAAAGCGUCCAGCUUGAACGGCUCCGACGGUGAGGGACGAAGGCCAGGGGAGCGAACCGGAUUAGAUACCCGGGUAGUCCUGGCUGUAAACGCUGCCCGCUUGGUGUUGCCGGUCUUUCGGGGGCCGGCAGUGCCGGAGCGAAGGUGUUAAGCGGGCCGCUUGGGAAGUACGGCCGCAAGGCUGAAACUUAAAGGAAUUGGCGGGGGAGCACAGCAACGGGAGGAGCGUGCGGUUUAAUUGGAUUCAACGCCGGGA